GGGGGUGUGGCGGAAUUGGCAGACGCGGGGGACUUAAAAUCCCCUGGGCGAAAAGCCCGUGAGGGUUCGACUCCCUCCACCCCCACCACCC
This 91-nucleotide transfer RNA is filed under the name Aquifex aeolicus VF5. Its description in RNAcentral is "tRNA-Leu". It matches the Rfam family "tRNA". From Rfam's summary of the family: Transfer RNA (tRNA) molecules are approximately 80 nucleotides in length. Their secondary structure includes four short double-helical elements and three loops (D, anti-codon, and T loops). The record is from RNAcentral. Lineage: Bacteria; Pseudomonadati; Aquificota; Aquificia; Aquificales; Aquificaceae.